UAAAAGAUAGACUAAGUUUAAGUUAUUAGAUUCAUAAUCUAAAGAUAUAAUAUUUUUUUCUUUUAA
RNAcentral lists this transfer RNA (66 nucleotides) under Sycophila sp. 2 JXW-2020. RNAcentral describes it as "tRNA-Met". The record is from RNAcentral. Lineage: Eukaryota; Metazoa; Arthropoda; Insecta; Hymenoptera; Eurytomidae.